RNAcentral lists this unclassified non-coding RNA (201 nucleotides) under uncultured Hyphodontia. RNAcentral's name for it is "sequence contains ITS2". The record is from RNAcentral. Lineage: Eukaryota; Fungi; Basidiomycota; Agaricomycetes; Corticiales; Corticiaceae.
AAUCAUCAAUUCUCAACUUCUGUAAUGGUUGUUGUUGAAUUGGACUUGGGGACUUGCUGAUUCUAGUGUUGAACUGGCUUCCCUCAAAUGCAUUAGCUGAAGUCUUACAAGCAGCAUAUAUGCGGUGUGAUAAUAUCUUCACUGCAUUGCUCUUGUUGAAUUCGGCUUCUAAUAGUCCUUCAAUUGGACAAUACUUUGACA